GAAGUUUUCCCACAGCCUGCUAUCGAUUCUCAACCACAGGGGAUGUCCUUAACAGACAGCAGGACACUGCUCUUGAAUGGUCGGAGGAGCUCUUCACACAUGACCUUGUGAUGAUAAAAGUGCAGGACAUCGCCUCUCCCACCCCAUUGACUACAGAGUGGUCCCCAGAAGAUCAGGAGACACAGAUUACUACCCUGUUUACAGCCACAUCACAGCACAGAGGAGAAAUUGCUGAAGAAGAUACGCCUGCAUUUCUUUCUAGAACCCCAAAGGGCCCUGAGAUGACAGGGCCCACUUCUGACUGGGGGGUGGGGAUCCGUGGUCGCCUUCCACGGUCUGUCCAGUGCCAGGCAAAGAAGACAAGAUGGAACUUGAUAGACUCUUGGUGUGACUUAGUGUAAGGCAGCUUCACAUGUUCGUGUACGUAUGUAUGUCGUCAUGGUAUGUACAUUGCAUGACUAUCACAGGAGAACCCUGAUUCCACAUUCUGGUCUCCCUGGUCAAGCUCUGGCUUAAAGAAAGAGCGCUGGGGUAGAUUCAUACCCUGGGCUCUUUGCAGGAAUUUCAGAUUCAAUUACUCUCCCAUCCUUCCUUCUCUUCUUAUAUAUAUAGAGUACUAGAGGCUUACCUUGAGA
Molecule: long non-coding RNA, 635 nt
Organism: Eublepharis macularius
Lineage: Eukaryota; Metazoa; Chordata; Lepidosauria; Squamata; Eublepharidae
Exons: 3
Source: RefSeq, a predicted model, not a curated record